RNAcentral lists this ribosomal RNA (1762 nucleotides) under Escherichia coli. RNAcentral describes it as "partial 23S ribosomal RNA". It matches the Rfam family "Bacterial large subunit ribosomal RNA", at positions 418 to 2164 of the family's 2925-position model. The record is from RNAcentral. Lineage: Bacteria; Pseudomonadati; Pseudomonadota; Gammaproteobacteria; Enterobacterales; Enterobacteriaceae.
CGGGACACGUGGUAUCCUGUCUGAAUAUGGGGGGACCAUCCUCCAAGGCUAAAUACUCCUGACUGACCGAUAGUGAACCAGUACCGUGAGGGAAAGGCGAAAAGAACCCCGGCGAGGGGAGUGAAAAAGAACCUGAAACCGUGUACGUACAAGCAGUGGGAGCACAGAGCAAUCUGUGUGACUGCGUACCUUUUGUAUAAUGGGUCAGCGACUUAUAUUCUGUAGCAAGGUUAACCGAAUAGGGGAGCCGAAGGGAAACCGAGUCUUAACUGGGCGUUAAGUUGCAGGGUAUAGACCCGAAACCCGGUGAUCUAGCCAUGGGCAGGUUGAAGGUUGGGUAACACUAACUGGAGGACCGAACCGACUAAUGUUGAAAAAUUAGCGGAUGACUUGUGGCUGGGGGUGAAAGGCCAAUCAAACCGGGAGAUAGCUGGUUCUCCCCGAAAGCUAUUUAGGUAGCGCCUCGUGAAUUCAUCUCCGGGGGUAGAGCACUGUUUCGGCAAGGGGGUCAUCCCGACUUACCAACCCGAUGCAAACUGCGAAUACCGGAGAAUGUUAUCACGGGAGACACACGGCGGGUGCUAACGUCCGUCGUGAAGAGGGAAACAACCCAGACCGCCAGCUAAGGUCCCAAAGUCAUGGUUAAGUGGGAAACGAUGUGGGAAGGCCCAGACAGCCAGGAUGUUGGCUUAGAAGCAGCCAUCAUUUAAAGAAAGCGUAAUAGCUCACUGGUCGAGUCGGCCUGCGCGGAAGAUGUAACGGGGCUAAACCAUGCACCGAAGCUGCGGCAGCGACACUGUGUGUUGUUGGGUAGGGGAGCGUUCUGUAAGCCUGUGAAGGUGUGCUGUGAGGCAUGCUGGAGGUAUCAGAAGUGCGAAUGCUGACAUAAGUAACGAUAAAGCGGGUGAAAAGCCCGCUCGCCGGAAGACCAAGGGUUCCUGUCCAACGUUAAUCGGGGCAGGGUGAGUCGACCCCUAAGGCGAGGCCGAAAGGCGUAGUCGAUGGGAAACAGGUUAAUAUUCCUGUACUUGGUGUUACUGCGAAGGGGGGACGGAGAAGGCUAUGUUGGCCGGGCGACGGUUGUCCCGGUUUAAGCGUGUAGGCUGGUUUUCCAGGCAAAUCCGGAAAAUCAAGGCUGAGGCGUGAUGACGAGGCACUACGGUGCUGAAGCAACAAAUGCCCUGCUUCCAGGAAAAGCCUCUAAGCAUCAGGUAACAUCAAAUCGUACCCCAAACCGACACAGGUGGUCAGGUAGAGAAUACCAAGGCGCUUGAGAGAACUCGGGUGAAGGAACUAGGCAAAAUGGUGCCGUAACUUCGGGAGAAGGCACGCUGAUAUGUAGGUGAAGUCCCUCGCGGAUGGAGCUGAAAUCAGUCGAAGAUACCAGCUGGCUGCAACUGUUUAUUAAAAACACAGCACUGUGCAAACACGAAAGUGGACGUAUACGGUGUGACGCCUGCCCGGUGCCGGAAGGUUAAUUGAUGGGGUCAGCGCAAGCGAAGCUCUUGAUCGAAGCCCCGGUAAACGGCGGCCGUAACUAUAACGGUCCUAAGGUAGCGAAAUUCCUUGUCGGGUAAGUUCCGACCUGCACGAAUGGCGUAAUGAUGGCCAGGCUGUCUCCACCCGAGACUCAGUGAAAUUGAACUCGCUGUGAAGAUGCAGUGUACCCGCGGCAAGACGGAAAGACCCCGUGAACCUUUACUAUAGCUUGACACUGAACAUUGAGCCUUGAUGUGUAGGAUAGGUGGGAGGCUUUGAAGUG